This 114-nucleotide Y RNA is filed under the name Microcebus murinus (gray mouse lemur). Its description in RNAcentral is "Y RNA (ENSMICG00000041654.1)". It matches the Rfam family "Y RNA". Rfam says of the family: Y RNAs are components of the Ro ribonucleoprotein particle (Ro RNP), in association with Ro60 and La proteins. The Y RNAs and Ro60 and La proteins are well conserved, but the function of the Ro RNP is not known. Lineage: Eukaryota; Metazoa; Chordata; Mammalia; Primates; Cheirogaleidae. The record is from Rfam by way of RNAcentral.
GGCUGGUCCUAAGGUAGUGAGUUAUCUCACGUGAUUGUUCACAGUCAGUUACAGAUUGAACUCCUUGUUCUACUACUUCUCCCCCUCCUCACUACUGCACUUGACUAGUCUUAA